GAUGAACGCUGGCGGCGUGCCUAAUACAUGCAAGUCGAGCGAACGGACGAGAAGCUUGCUUCUCUGAUGUUAGCGGCGGACGGGUGAGUAACACGUGGAUAACCUACCUAUAAGACUGGGAUAACUUCGGGGAACCGGAGCUAAUACCGGAUAAUAUUUUGAACCGCAUGGUUCAAAAGUGAAAGACGGUCUUGCUGUCACUUAUAGAUGGAUCCGCGCUGCAUUAGCUAGUUGGUAAGGUAACGGCUUACCAAGGCAACGAUGCAUAGCCGACCUGAGAGGGUGAUCGGCCACACUGGAACUGAGACACGGUCCAGACUCCUACGGGAGGCAGCAGUAGGGAAUCUUCCGCAAUGGGCGAAAGCCUGACGGAGCAACGCCGCGUGAGUGAUGAAGGUCUUCGGAUCGUAAAACUCUGUUAUUAGGGAAGAACAUAUGUGUAAGUAACUGUGCACAUCUUGACGGUACCUAAUCAGAAAGCCACGGCUAACUACGU
This 496-nucleotide ribosomal RNA is filed under the name uncultured bacterium. RNAcentral describes it as "partial 16S ribosomal RNA". It matches the Rfam family "Bacterial small subunit ribosomal RNA", at positions 28 to 506 of the family's 1533-position model. The record is from RNAcentral.